This 500-nucleotide ribosomal RNA is filed under the name uncultured bacterium. RNAcentral describes it as "partial 16S ribosomal RNA". It matches the Rfam family "Bacterial small subunit ribosomal RNA", at positions 30 to 523 of the family's 1533-position model. The record is from RNAcentral.
AUUGAACGCUGGCGGCAGGCCUAACACAUGCAAGUCGAGCGGAUGACGGGAGCUUGCUCCUUGAUUCAGCGGCGGACGGGUGAGUAAUGCCUAGGAAUCUGCCUGGUAGUGGGGGAUAACGUUUCGAAAGGAACGCUAAUACCGCAUACGUCCUACGGGAGAAAGCAGGGGACCUUCGGGCCUUGCGCUAUCAGAUGAGCCUAGGUCGGAUUAGCUAGUUGGUGGGGUAAUGGCUCACCAAGGCGACGAUCCGUAACUGGUCUGAGAGGAUGAUCAGUCACACUGGAACUGAGACACGGUCCAGACUCCUACGGGAGGCAGCAGUGGGGAAUAUUGGACAAUGGGCGAAAGCCUGAUCCAGCCAUGCCGCGUGUGUGAAGAAGGUCUUCGGAUUGUAAAGCACUUUAAGUUGGGAGGAAGGGCAGUAAGUUAAUACCUUGCUGUUUUGACGUUACCGACAGAAUAAGCACCGGCUAACUCUGCGCCAGCCGCCGCGGUAA